RNAcentral lists this ribosomal RNA (479 nucleotides) under uncultured bacterium. RNAcentral's name for it is "partial 16S ribosomal RNA". It matches the Rfam family "Bacterial small subunit ribosomal RNA", at positions 28 to 507 of the family's 1533-position model. The record is from RNAcentral.
GAUGAACGCUGGCGGCGUGCUUAACACAUGCAAGUCGAACGAAGCACUUAAGAUUGAUUCUUCGGAUGACGUCUUUUGUGCCUUAGUGGCGGACGGGUGAGUAACGCGUGGGUAACCUGCCUCACACAGGGGGAUAACAGUUAGAAAUGACUGCUAAUACCGCAUAACCCGAUAGGAUCGCAUGAUCCAGACGGAAAAGAUUUAUCGGUGUGAGAUGGACCCGCGUCUGAUUAGCUAGUUGGUGAGGUAACGGCCCACCAAGGCGACGAGCAGUAGCCGGCCUGAGAGGGUGAACGGCCACAUUGGGACUGAGACACGGCCCAAACUCCUACGGGAGGCAGCAGUGGGGAAUAUUGCACAAUGGGGGAAACCCUGAUGCAGCGACGCCGCGUGAGUGAAGAAGUAUUUCGGUAUGUAAAGCUCUAUCAGCAGGGAAGAAAAUGACGGUACCUGACGAAGAAGCCCCGGCUAACUACGUG